GGACGAACGCUGGCGGCGUGCUUAACACAUGCAAGUCGAGCGGUAAGGCCCUUUCGGGGGUACACGAGCGGCGAACGGGUGAGUAACACGUGGGUGACCUGCCCUCAGCUCUGGGAUAAGCCUGGGAAACCGGGUCUAAUACCGGAUAUGACUCCAUGACGCAUGUUGUGGGGUGGAAAGCCUUGUGCGGCUGAGGAUGGGCCCGCGGCCUAUCAGCUUGUUGGUGGGGUGAUGGCCUACCAAGGCGACGACGGUAGCCGGCCUGAGAGGGCCGACCGGCCACACUGGGACUUGAGACACGGCCCAGACUCCGUAC
This 316-nucleotide ribosomal RNA is filed under the name uncultured bacterium. RNAcentral's name for it is "bacterial SSU rRNA". It matches the Rfam family "Bacterial small subunit ribosomal RNA", at positions 27 to 342 of the family's 1533-position model. The record is from RNAcentral.